UACGUAGGGGGCAAGCGUUGUCCGGAUUCACUGGGUGUAAAGGGCGCGUAGGCGGGUUAGCAAGUCAGAGGUGAAAUCUCCCGGCUCAACCGGGAAACUGCCUUUGAAACUGUUAAUCUUGAGUGCGGAAGAGAGAGACGGAAUUCCAGGUGUAGCGGUGAAAUGCGUAGAUAUCUGGAGGAACACCGGUUGCGAAGGCGGUCUCUUGGUCCGUAACUGACGCUCAGACCCGAAACCGCCUGUAGCUUACCGCAUCAGAUGGCCGGGUAGUUC
This 273-nucleotide ribosomal RNA is filed under the name uncultured bacterium. RNAcentral describes it as "partial 16S ribosomal RNA". It matches the Rfam family "Bacterial small subunit ribosomal RNA", at positions 524 to 796 of the family's 1533-position model. The record is from RNAcentral.